GCCUGGAUAGCUCAGUUGGUUGCAGCGUGGUGCUGAUAAUGCCAAGAUUGCAGGUUUGACCCCCAUUUUGGGACA
Molecule: non-coding RNA, 75 nt
Organism: Podarcis lilfordi (Lilford's wall lizard)
Lineage: Eukaryota; Metazoa; Chordata; Lepidosauria; Squamata; Lacertidae
Source: the annotation of a GenBank genome assembly